ACACACACACACACACACACACACACACACACACACACACACCCCAGCAUUCCCAGUUGGGGGAGGGACAAUUGAGUCUGUGUCAUAUGUGUGUGUGUGUGUGUGUGU
RNAcentral lists this microRNA precursor (108 nucleotides) under Podarcis lilfordi (Lilford's wall lizard). Lineage: Eukaryota; Metazoa; Chordata; Lepidosauria; Squamata; Lacertidae. The record is from RNAcentral.